This 71-nucleotide transfer RNA is filed under the name Oryzias latipes (Japanese medaka). RNAcentral describes it as "tRNA-His". It matches the Rfam family "tRNA". Rfam says of the family: Transfer RNA (tRNA) molecules are approximately 80 nucleotides in length. Lineage: Eukaryota; Metazoa; Chordata; Actinopteri; Beloniformes; Adrianichthyidae. The record is from RNAcentral.
GUAGAUGUAGUUUAAAAAUAAAACGCUAGAUUGUGAUUCUAGAAAUAAGAGUUAAUAUCUCUUUAUCCACC